Molecule: long non-coding RNA, 419 nt
Filed under: Homo sapiens (human)
Lineage: Eukaryota; Metazoa; Chordata; Mammalia; Primates; Hominidae
Description: HSALNT0334986
Source: RNAcentral
CCUAACUUCAGGCGAUCCACCUGCCUCAGCCUCCCAAAGUUCUGGGAUUACAGGUGUGAGCCACCGCGACCGGCCAUAAUGUUAUGCUUUUGUAAGACUGGCAGCACCAAGAUUUGUUUAUACCAGCAUCAUCACAAACUUACUUUACCAAGCAGACGCUGCUGGAAAAACAAGAACUUUCCUUGUCUGCUGUUAAGAUGCCAGAAAAAUGAUGAAAAGAGCACAGUACCGAAAAUAAGAAGAGAGUAAAACCAUAAUAAGAAAGACAAGGUGCUGGAGGGUGCACGGUGAUUAGGAACUGGCAUGGAUCCCCAGUGCAGCACAACUGCUUCACAGAAAAGUGUCUGUGUGUCUGGAGUUGGUUCCUUCCCAUGGGUUCAUUCGUGGUCUCGCUGACUUCAAGAAUGGAGCCGUGGACC